GGCUCAGGACGAACGCUGGCGGCGUGCUUAACACAUGCAAGUCAGGGGGCUCAGCAAUGGGUCACCGGCGAACGGGUGCGUAACACGUGAGCGACCUGCCCAAGUGUGGGGGAUAGCCGGCCCAACGGCCGGGUAAUACCGCAUACGCUUCCUUUGGGGCAUACCUAGGGAAGGAAACCUUCGGGGCACAUGGAGGGGCUCGCGGCCUAUCAGCUAGUUGGCGGGGUAAUGGCCCACCAAGGCGAUGACGGGUAGCUGGUCUGAGAGGAUGGCCAGCCACAUUGGGACUGAGAAACGGCCCAGACUCCUACGGGAGGCAGCAGUGGGGAAUCUUGCGCAAUGGCCGAAAGGCUGACGCAGCGACGCCGCGUGGGGGAGGAAGGUCUUCGGAUUGUAAACCCCUGUUGCCCGGGACGAAUGACCCUUUCGAGGGGAGUGACGGUACCGGGUGAGGAAGCACCGGCUAACUCUGUGCCAGCAGCCGCGGUAAUACAGAGGGUGCGAGCGUUGUCCGGAAUCACUGGGCGUAAAGGGCGCGUAGGUGGCUUGCUAAGCGUGCGGUGAAAGCCCGGGGCUCAACUCCGGGUCGGCCGUGCGAACUGGCAGGCUUGAGCACGGUAGAGGCCGAUGGAAUUCCGGGUGUAGCGGUGGAAUGCGUAGAGAUCCGGAAGAACACCGGUGGCGAAGGCGGUCGGCUGGGCCGUUGCUGGCACUGAUGCGCGACAGCGUGGGGAGCAAACAGGAUUAGAUACCCUGGUAGUCCACGCCGUAAACGAUGGGCACUAGGUCCUUGGGGGAGCGACCCUCUGAGGGCCGGCGCUAACGCAUUAAGUGCCCCGCCCUGGGGAGUACGGCCCGCAGGCUGAAACUC
Molecule: ribosomal RNA, 871 nt
Filed under: uncultured bacterium
Lineage: Bacteria
Description: bacterial SSU rRNA
Rfam family: Bacterial small subunit ribosomal RNA
Source: RNAcentral